GAUGAAGAACGUAGCGAAAUGCGAUAAGUAAUGCGAAUUGCAGAAUUUCCGUGAGUCAUCGAAUCUUUGAACGCACAUUGCGCCCCCUGGCAUUCCGGGGGGCAUGCCUGUCCGAGCGUCAUUUCUGCCCUCAAGCACGGCUUGUGUGUUGGGUGUGGUCCCCCCGGGGACCUGCCCGAAAGGCAGCGGCGACGUCCGUCUGGUCCUCGAGCGUAUGGGGCUCUGUCACUCGCUCGGGAAGGACCUGCGGGGGUUGGUCACCACUAUAUUUUACCACGGUUGACCUCGGAUCAGGUAGGAGUUACCCGCUGAACUUAAGCAUAUCAAUAAGCGGAGGA
RNAcentral lists this unclassified non-coding RNA (338 nucleotides) under soil metagenome. RNAcentral describes it as "partial contains 5.8S ribosomal RNA, internal transcribed spacer 2, and large subunit ribosomal RNA". The stretch from base 1 to 121 matches the Rfam family "5.8S ribosomal RNA", at positions 35 to 154 of the family's 154-position model. The record is from RNAcentral.